This is a small nuclear RNA of Rhinopithecus bieti (black snub-nosed monkey), 106 nucleotides long. Lineage: Eukaryota; Metazoa; Chordata; Mammalia; Primates; Cercopithecidae. The record is from Ensembl.
GUUUGCUUCUACAGCACAUACACUAAAAAAAAUUGGAAUGAUACAGAGAUUAGCGUGGUCCCGGCAUAAGGAUAAGACGCAGAUUUACCAAGUAUUCCAUAUAAGA